This 464-nucleotide ribosomal RNA is filed under the name uncultured bacterium. RNAcentral describes it as "partial 16S ribosomal RNA". It matches the Rfam family "Bacterial small subunit ribosomal RNA", at positions 28 to 507 of the family's 1533-position model. The record is from RNAcentral.
GACGAACGCUGGCGGCGUGCUUAACACAUGCAAGUCGAACGGAAAGGCCCUGCUUGCAGGGUACUCGAGUGGCGAACGGGUGAGUAACACGUGGGUGAUCUGCCCUGCACUUCGGGAUAAGCCUGGGAAACUGGGUCUAAUACCGGAUAGGAGCCAUUUUUAGUGUGAUGGUUGGAAAGUUUUUUCGGUGUAGGAUGAGCUCGCGGCCUAUCAGCUUGUUGGUGGGGUAAUGGCCUACCAAGGCGGCGACGGGUAGCCGGCCUGAGAGUGUGGACGGCCACAUUGGGACUGAGAUACGGCCCAGACUCCUACGGGAGGCAGCAGUGGGGAAUAUUGCACAAUGGGCGCAAGCCUGAUGCAGCGACGCCGCGUGGGGGAUGACGGCCUUCGGGUUGUAAACUCCUUUCGCUAGGGACGAAGCUUUUGUGACGGUACCUAGAUAAGAAGCACCGGCUAACUACGUG